This 805-nucleotide long non-coding RNA is filed under the name Equus caballus (horse). RNAcentral's name for it is "lncRNA (ENSECAG00000052752.1)". Lineage: Eukaryota; Metazoa; Chordata; Mammalia; Perissodactyla; Equidae. The record is from RNAcentral.
CUGUCAGGGGCCCCUGGAUGUGAACCCUGUCUGUUCUGGCUCCAGAGCCCUUGGGCGCUGUCUUGCCCUGUGCUGUUCCUUGCUGAGAGGAAGAGGAGCCCCCGGAACAGGCAGACGGAAGUCUGUGCACUCGGCGAGCUGACCGCCAGCUCAAACACCCAUAAGGUCUGACCCGUCCCUCCCAGGUCAUCCAGGAUCUCAAGCUGCAGAGGAAGGAUGCAUGAAGCUGGGAACCAUCACAGCCAAGUUUCAGACGAGAGUAAAUUCAAGUGGUGACCGAGAUCAACUGAUAUCAUUUGGUUUAGGCAGCACGUCCUCACAAAGUUCAUUAUAGCUGCUGUAAAAUUGAGCAGGGGUCCAAUCUCCACCUCAGCCGCAGUCAAAUGACCCCACUGCCCUCCCAUGUGGGAGGCUGGGACCACAGCCAGAACUUUUAUCUGUUCCACUUGGGCUGAGAAAGAAGCAAAGGCCAAGAUUAGCCAGGAAGGUAUUAGAAUGACCUUCUAGAGAAUACGCAUGUGAGCAGACAUUCCAGAACAUUCUCCAUCGCAUGAACAAGGUACAGAAAUGCAGAGCCAUACAGGUGGAGGCAGCCACAGAGCGGAUCAUUCCUGAGUUUGGAUCUAGGUGGUGGCUUCUGCAAGUGUGCUCCACUUGUGAAAGUACACGGAGAUAUACACUUGAAACGUGGCACUUUUCACAUCAACAUCAAACUUCAAUAAAAUUACAAUGAAUUAUUAUAAAUAAUAAUGUUAUGUAUCAGGAUGUACAUAAGCAUAAAACCAUAGGGGCCAGCCCGGUUGCG